This 72-nucleotide transfer RNA is filed under the name Papilio xuthus (Asian swallowtail). It matches the Rfam family "tRNA". From Rfam's summary of the family: Transfer RNA (tRNA) molecules are approximately 80 nucleotides in length. Their secondary structure includes four short double-helical elements and three loops (D, anti-codon, and T loops). Lineage: Eukaryota; Metazoa; Arthropoda; Insecta; Lepidoptera; Papilionidae. The record is from Rfam by way of RNAcentral.
GGGGUUGUAACUCAGCGCUAGAGUGUCUGCUUCGAGUGCUGAAAGUCCUAGUUUCAAAUCCUUGCACCUCCA